This 231-nucleotide long non-coding RNA is filed under the name Capsicum annuum. Its description in RNAcentral is "long non-coding RNA (CANN_LNC011892)". Lineage: Eukaryota; Viridiplantae; Streptophyta; Magnoliopsida; Solanales; Solanaceae. The record is from RNAcentral.
UAUGCCACCAGCUCCUCUCCACUUCAUUCUCUAUCUCUUCCUUUCUAUUUACAUAUUCUUCCACCUUCUUAUGUUAUUUCUGUGCCCACUCCUCCUUGUCCUAUGAUUCCAGUUCUUAUUUCACCUCCUUCUUCACUUUUUGAUUUAGUUUUUUGUCCUUCUGUUCAUGUUCCUCUCAGAAAGUCCUCUAGGGUUACCUGCACUUCUUCUUACUUUUUUUGUUAUCUCUAU